GUGGGGAAUCUUCCACAAUGGACGAAAGUCUGAUGGAGCAACGCCGCGUGAGUGAAGAAGGGUUUCGGCUCGUAAAGCUCUGUUGUCGGGGACGAACGUGAGAUACUUGAAUAAAGUGUCUUAAUGACGGUACCUGACGAGGAAGCCACGGCUAACUACGUGCCAGCAGCCGCGGUAAUACGUAGGUGGCAAGCGUUGUCCGGAAUUAUUGGGCGUAAAGGGAGCGCAGGCGGGAAGGUAAGUCGGUCUUAAAAGUGAGGGGCUCAACCCCGUGAUGGGAUCGAAACUAUCUUUCUUGAGUGCAGGGAAGGAAAGUGGAAUUCCUAGUGUAGCGGUGAAAUGCGUAGAUAUUAGGAGGAACACCAGUGGCGAAGGCGACUUUCUGGACUGUAACUGACGCUGAGGCUCGAAAGCCAGGGGAGCGAACGGGAUUAGAUACCCGUGUAGUCC
RNAcentral lists this ribosomal RNA (450 nucleotides) under uncultured bacterium. Its description in RNAcentral is "partial 16S ribosomal RNA". It matches the Rfam family "Bacterial small subunit ribosomal RNA", at positions 354 to 796 of the family's 1533-position model. The record is from RNAcentral.